UAGGUGCAUUCCCUUAUGAAAUGUUGUACACUUACAGAUGAAAAAUUACAUUUCUUUAAUAGGUAGUAAUUGGGUUCUAUAUAAACCCAUGAAACCAUUGGUAUUAAAUGAUAGAAAAUUAGAGUUAAUUCUUACUCUUGAGAAAUAGGGUUUCCCCACUUUGUUUCUCUCAUUCUUUGUUUGUCAAAUUCCGAGUCAUGUCUUGACAGUACAGAAAAUAUAAAGUUCUCCAGAGU
This 236-nucleotide long non-coding RNA is filed under the name Malus domestica (apple). RNAcentral's name for it is "long non-coding RNA (MDOM_LNC006722)". Lineage: Eukaryota; Viridiplantae; Streptophyta; Magnoliopsida; Rosales; Rosaceae. The record is from RNAcentral.